UGGGGAAUAUUGGACAAUGGGGGCAACCCUGAUCCAGCAAUGCCGCGUGUGUGAAGAAGGCCUGCGGGUUGUAAAGCACUUUCAGAGGGGAAGCGUUACCCUUAGAAGAAGCACCGGCUAACUCCGUGCCAGCAGCCGCGGUAAUACGGAGGGUGCAAGCGUUAAUCGGAAUUACUGGGCGUAAAGCGCACGCAGGUGGCUGAGUCAGUCGAUUUGAAAGCCCUGGGCUUAACCUGGGAAUUGCAGUCGAUACUACUUAGCUAGAGUAUGGGAGAGGGCAGUGGAAUUCCCGUGUAGCGGUGAAAUGCGUAGAUAUCGGAGGAACAUCAGUGGCGAAGGCGGCUGCCUGGCCCAAUACUGACACUCAGGUGCGACAGCGGGGGAGCAAACAGAUUAGAUACCCGAGUAGU
RNAcentral lists this ribosomal RNA (410 nucleotides) under uncultured bacterium. RNAcentral's name for it is "bacterial SSU rRNA". It matches the Rfam family "Bacterial small subunit ribosomal RNA", at positions 355 to 794 of the family's 1533-position model. The record is from RNAcentral.